AUACGUAGGGGGCGAGCGUUGUCCGGAAUGAUUGGGCGUAAAGGGCGCGUAGGCGGCCCGGUAAGUCUGGAGUGAAAGUCCUGUUUUUAAGAUGGGAAUUGCUUUGGAUACUGUCGGGCUUGAGUGCAGGAGAGGGAAGUGGAAUUCCCAGUGUAGCGGUGAAAUGCGUAGAGAUUGGGAGGAACACCAGUGGCGAAGGCGACUUACUGGACUGUAACUGACGCUGAGGCGCGAAAGUGUGGGGAGCAAACAGGAUUAGAUACCCUGGUAGUCCACACUGUAAACGAUGAAUGCCAGGUGUAGGGGGUAUCGACCCCUUCUGUGCCGCAGUCAACACAAUAAGCAUUCCGCCUGGGGAGUACGGCCGCAAGGUUGAAACUCAAAUGAAUUGACGGGG
RNAcentral lists this ribosomal RNA (397 nucleotides) under uncultured bacterium. RNAcentral's name for it is "partial 16S ribosomal RNA". It matches the Rfam family "Bacterial small subunit ribosomal RNA", at positions 523 to 918 of the family's 1533-position model. The record is from RNAcentral.